UUCCAGACUCCUACGGGAGGCAGCAGUGAGGAAUAUUGGUCAAUGGGCUUACGCCUGAACCAGCCAAGUCGCGUGAGGGAAGACUGCCCUAUGGGUUGUAAACCUCUUUUGUCAGGGAGCAACGCCGGCUACGUGUAGCCGGACUGAGAGUACCUGAAGAAAAAGCAUCGGCUAACUCCGUGCCAGCAGCCGCGGUAAUACGGAGGAUGCGAGCGUUAUCCGGAUUUAUUGGGUUUAAAGGGUGCGUAGGCGGUCCGUUAAGUCAGCGGUAAAAUUGCGGGGCUCAACCCCGUCGAGCCGUUGAAACUGGCAGGCUUGAGUUGGCGAGAAGUACGCGGAAUGCGCGGUGUAGCGGUGAAAUGCAUAGAUAUCGCGCAGAACUCCGAUUGCGAAGGCAGCGUACCGGCGCCAGACUGACGCUGAGGCACGAAAGCGUGGGGAUCGAACAGGAUUAGAUACCCGGGUACC
Molecule: ribosomal RNA, 468 nt
Filed under: uncultured bacterium
Lineage: Bacteria
Description: bacterial SSU rRNA
Rfam family: Bacterial small subunit ribosomal RNA
Source: RNAcentral